GACGAACGCUGGCGGCGUGCUUAACACAUGCAAGUCGAACGGAGAAGCGCCUUCCUUUUUGGUGGGUUUGGAUGAGUGGCGAAGGGGGUAAUAACACGUUAGUAACCUUCUACCUCUUGCUUGAUAACCGCAUGAAAGUGUUGCUAACACGGGAUAUUCUGGACCUGUUGCAUCAUGGGUGUGGGACGGUCUUUGUUUCGGUUGUGGAUGGGUCCGCGCACUAUCAGCUUGUUGGUGUGGUAACGGCCUACCAAGGCGAUGAUGGGUAGCCGGCCUGAGAGGGUGGGCGGUCAUGCUGGGGAGAAGACGCCGAGACGCCUCCGACGGGCGGCAGCAGUGGGGAAUACGGCACGGGGGGAGGAAGGAUGAUGCAGCGACGCGGCGUGAGGGAUGGAGGCCUGAGGGUUGUGAACCGCUUUCGGGAGAGAAGCAGGCCUGCCUUGUUUGUGGGUGGGUUGACGGUAGCUGGAUAAGAAGCGACGGCUAACUACGUG
This 494-nucleotide ribosomal RNA is filed under the name uncultured bacterium. RNAcentral's name for it is "partial 16S ribosomal RNA". It matches the Rfam family "Bacterial small subunit ribosomal RNA", at positions 28 to 507 of the family's 1533-position model. The record is from RNAcentral.